GGGGGGGGGAGGCAGCGGUAGUUUGGAUGCAUGUCCACAAUUGUUAUAGUGUUGUGGCGGAGAUGGAUGGCAAGUUCUUAUUUUAUAAACUUUUUCAACGACUACAAAUUGAACUCAUGAAAGUUGGUCUUUGAAAAAAACUAACUCGUUCAAUUAUUUUCAAAUAUACUCAAAUUUCACUCUUAUCUAAUAUUUAAAUUCCGAUCGCGACAUGUUUAACCAAAUGAAUUUGAUUUGAUCUAAAAUAUUUUAUAGUUAAUCUUUAAUCGUACUCGAAUUGCAUUUAUUUAAUUUAAUUUUAAUUUGAUUUGUGACAAUUCAUUUACAUACAAACAAGAUUGGUUACUGACACUAGUACAGAACAUGCAAAAGUGUGAUUCCGUCAUUAAUAGAUUUAAGAAUGUCGAACAUCUCCCGAAAAUGUUAAAGUUGUGUACAUGUAUAGAUUUUAUCGUGAUUUAGUAAUAGUUAUGUCUAGUAUGUAUAGUAUAUAAAAUGUAAUACAUAUAGAGGAUAUUUAUUACACGGCGGCGCGAAGAUAUGACUUUUUAUCUUCGAGUGGUAACCAGAAUAAUUUGUGUAACGUGCCGAUGUUUUUAACACGAGAAGAUAAAAGUCGUAUAUUCAAGCCACCGUGUAAUGUUCUGUUUAUUAUAUAGUCCCAAGCAAAAAAUUGUGAAAUUUCACGCUCAGAAGCAAAUUGGAAAAAGUCACGUGAUCGAUAUGUUCACUAGUGAAGAUAUGGAAAAUAUCUCACUGUGUAUUUUUCAGUAUCUCACUCUCUACUAUAUAAUAAAUACGUUUAUUUUAAUUUUCAGUGUACUUAGUACAAACACAAAAGGAAAAGCACCUAAUAUACAACUAUUUUGUAAAUAUUUACAAAUAAAAUUGAAUAAAUAUCAUGUAUGUUUCGCGUC
Molecule: non-coding RNA, 917 nt
Organism: Paramuricea clavata
Lineage: Eukaryota; Metazoa; Cnidaria; Anthozoa; Malacalcyonacea; Plexauridae
Source: the annotation of a GenBank genome assembly